AAGUCAGGAGCUCCCUCUUCAGGCGAUUCACGCUCACACAGAAAGAUGGCGGACCCUUCAGUCACGAUACGGACGAGGAAGUUCAUGACCAACCGUCUGCUAUGCAGAAAACAAAUGGUGGUAGACAUCAUUCAUCCAAACCGUGGAACGGUAUCCAAAAAUGAUGUUCGCGAGAAGCUCAGCAAGAUGUACAACACGACGCCAGACGUGGUCUUCUGCUUUGGGUUCCGAACACAAUUCGGUGGUGGGAAGACAUCAGGCUUCGCCCUCAUCUACGACACAUUAGACUUCGCAAAGAAGUUUGAGCCCAAGUACAGGCUUUGCAGAAACGGCCUUGGCGAAAAGGGAAGGACAGGACGUAAACAGCGUAAGGAACGCAAGAACCGUAUGAAGAAGGUACGAGGUACAAAGAAGGCCAAGGUGGGCGCUGCUGCUGGCAAGAAGCGCUAACUGGUGACGCUUGCCUCUGCUGUUGUAGGAGGGUGGUGCACCUGCGCACCGGUUUUCAGUAAUGACGUCAGUGGUUGUACGCAGCACCGUGCAUAUGAGCGAGCGGACUUCUCAAAUACAUGUGUGAAUAUAC
This is an RNA transcript of Ornithodoros turicata, 583 nucleotides long. It is a transcript of the gene named small ribosomal subunit protein eS24-like, with no coding region annotated. The transcript has 6 exons. NCBI's taxonomy places the organism in Eukaryota, Metazoa, Arthropoda, Arachnida, Ixodida, Argasidae. The record is from RefSeq and is a predicted model, not a curated record.